AAUUGCAGGUCUAGUCAUAUGUUUCGGUGGUUUUUUGUGUGUGGAUUUUGGUAAUAAUUCUUUGUUAGGAGUAUACAUGAUAAACUUUGGAGUACUCUGGUUUAUGAUGAGAAUGAUCUAUCUACCAAGUGAAUUUUUAGUGUUGGUACGGUUUGGUUCUGUCCGGUCUGGUAUUACUUGAGGAGUAAGCUUCGCUGGAGUCGAGAUAAGGUCGUAUAAGAGUUGUUAGAGAAUAUAGAAUAUACGUAGAUGUUGAUAACUAAGGAUCUAUUGUGAAGAUCUCUUUGUCUUGUAUAUAUUCUCAUUGUGAGUACUGAAUACAACAACACGUUCUCAAUACUUUCUUCCUAAGUUUACAUGGUAUCAGAGCAGUGCUAGAUCCAGUAGAAGAAAUUGUUGAGAAAAAAAAAAUAUCAUGUCAAAAGAUCUUGCAGUUGCAAGCGUCAGUGGUGGGAGCAGUAUGUCCUCACCUUACUUUCUGUCACAUUCAGAUAAUCCUGGUGUCUCCAUCUCUCCAGUCUCGUUGACAGGAGAGAACUAUGCCGAGUGGUCGUCGGAGCUGGAGAACGCGCUGCGUGCCAAGCGUAAAACAGGAUUCAUCGAUGGAUCUCUGACUAUGCCGAGUGAGUCGGAGAAGCCGGCAGAAGCUGAGCAGUGGAAGACUGUAAAUUCAAUGAUUGUGGGUUGGAUAAGGGCUUCCAUCUCGCCCACGAUCCGUUCAACCGUGACGUUCACGCCUGAUGCGUACAAGAUGUGGGAUGAUCUGAAGAGGAGAUUCUCCGUCGGGAAUGCGGUUCGAGUACAUCAACUGAGGGCAGAGUUAGCGGCUUGUAGACAAGACGGUUCCAGUGUUAUGUAAUACUUUGGUCGCUUGGUGCUCAAGUGGGAGGAGCUUCUCAGAUACAAACCAAUCCCACAAUGUACUUGCGGGGCCUCAGAGAAGUUCGUUGCAGAGUAUGAAGAGGAGAAAGUGCACACGUUCCUAAUGGGACUAGAUGAUGCUCGUUUUGGUAACGUGUGUACGAACAUCAUUGGCAUGGAGCCCUUACCAGAUCUCAACUCUGUUUAUCAGCGAGUGAUAAGGGAAGAGAGACGUCUGGUGUCGUCCAGAGUUGAACCUAAACAAGACGCAGUCGGGUUCAUGGCGAAAUCAGACGGAGGUGCUGGCGACAGUGCGUCUAUGAGUGGUUUGAUUGCAGCAGUGGCUCGUAGUCGUGGUAGCUCGUUGGUAUGUUCUCAUUGUGGAAGGUCUGGACACGACAAGAAGGAUUGCUGGCAGAUUGUCGGGUUCCCGGAGUGGUGGACAGAACCAAACCGUACCAACACUAACAAUCCCGGAGUGGUUUCGGGUUUAAGCAAUCCUACUCUGACUACUCAUUGUUUACAUAUAUCAAAGGAGACAAGUCGCUGCGAGUGCUCAUCUAUGUCGAUGACUUGAUCUUGACUGGAAAUGAUUCAACGAUGAUGAGCAAGUUCAAGGUGUACCUGAAUGAGUGUUUCAAGAUGAAGGAUUUGGGAAGAGCUAAGUAUUUUCUGGGAAUUGAAAUCGCAAGGGGGCCUGAAGGAAUGUUUUUGUCUCAGAGGAAGUAUGCCUUAGACAUUGUUGCAGAAGCAGGGAUGCUCGGAUGUAAACCAGUUUCGACUCCUAUGGAACAGAACCAUAAGUUACUGUCAGAUAAGGGGGCGUUCUACACGAAUCCUGCACGGUUUAGACGAUUUGUGGGAAAGCUUGUGUACCUUUCCAUUACGAGACCUGAGCUCAGUUAUGCUAUCCAUGUGCUCUCGCAGGUCAUGCACAAACCAAGAGAAGCACAUUGGGACGCAGUGGUACGAGUGAUGAGAUACUUAAAGGGAUGCCCCGGACAAGGAAUUAUGCUGAACGCUGCGAGUGAUCUUCGUCUUCGUAUAUUCUGCGACGCGGACUGGGCUGCUUGCCCCAAUACGAGGCGAUCAUUGUCUUCCUUCAUCACUCUGCUCGGGAACUCUCCAAUCUCCUGGAAAACUAAGAAGCAGGACACAGUCUCUCAUUCAUCUGCUGAAGCAGAAUACAGAUCGAUGGCUGCUGCGUUGCGAGAGCUCAAAUGGUUGAAAAGACUAUUGAACGACAUGGGAGUGCAACAUAAGUGGCCAAUGGAGAUGUUUUGUGACAGCAAAUCAGCCUUGUAUAUUGCAAACAACCCUGUGUUUCAUGAACGUACGAAACACAUAGAGUCUGAUUGCCAUAGUGUUCGAGAUGCAAUACAGGAUCGACUGAUUGUGACCAGGCAUGUGCGCACUACAGAGCAGCUAGCAGACAUCAUGACAAAGGCCUUGGGAGGUCCUGCGUUUAACUACUUGCUAUCCAAGUUAGGUGUACGUAAUCUCCAUUCACCUACUUGAGGGGGAGUGUUAGUGUUGGUACGGUUUGGUUCUGUCCGGUCUGGUAUUACUUGAGGAGUAAGCUUUGCUGGAGUCGAGAUAAGGUCGUAUAAGAGUUGUUAGAGAAUAUAGAAUAUACGUAGAUGUUGAUAACUAAGGAUCUAUUGUGAAGAUCUCUUUGUCUUGUAUAUAUUCUCAUUGUGAGUACUGAAUACAACAACACGUUCUCGAUACUUUCUUCCUAAAUUUACAUGAAUCACAUAACUGAAGAAGAGUGGAAGACAAAGUACGAUGGAGUAUGGUGAGAAAUUUGUGAUGCUUUUUUGGUGUUCAAAUAUAUUUAUAUGUGUG
This 2709-nucleotide long non-coding RNA is filed under the name Brassica rapa (field mustard). RNAcentral's name for it is "long non-coding RNA (BRAP_LNC006791)". Lineage: Eukaryota; Viridiplantae; Streptophyta; Magnoliopsida; Brassicales; Brassicaceae. The record is from RNAcentral.